UGACUCGGCCUCAGGAUGGCUAGAGGCAGGAAUCAAGCGCACCCAAAUGAGUGCAUCAUUGAUCAUGUGCGCAUCACGCAGAGGGAGAGUGGGAGUGAGAGACGAAAGGCGCAGCGACAGAGCAUGGGAGUUGUAAUGCAGUUUGUGUGAUUCUGUGUGCGUUAAUGAAUCUAAAACCAUGCUUAUAGUCACCUAUACUGCAUCUGCUACAGUUAUAAGUUCAUAUCUGGCUGCCGCACAGUUGAAUUUAUCCUGGCAAGCCCUGCUGUAACCAGUUCUUCUGUGAAGCUUAAUUAAAGACAGUGAACUCAACUCCUGGACUGCUGCAGUCUUUCUGACCGAAGACUUAGGCCAGACUUGUAUA
This is a long non-coding RNA of Oreochromis niloticus (Nile tilapia), 364 nucleotides long. RefSeq lists it as uncharacterized. The transcript is spliced from 2 exons. Lineage: Eukaryota; Metazoa; Chordata; Actinopteri; Cichliformes; Cichlidae. The record is from RefSeq and is a predicted model, not a curated record.